RNAcentral lists this ribosomal RNA (250 nucleotides) under uncultured bacterium. RNAcentral's name for it is "partial 16S ribosomal RNA". It matches the Rfam family "Bacterial small subunit ribosomal RNA", at positions 355 to 597 of the family's 1533-position model. The record is from RNAcentral.
UGGGGAAUUUUGGACAAUGGGCGCAAGCCUGAUCCAGCCAUGCCGCGUGAGUGAAGAAGGCCUUCGGGUUGUAAAGCUCUUUCGCAAGGGAAGAAAACGUGUGGGCUAAUAUCCUGCGCGGAUGACGGUACCUUGACAAGAAGCACCGGCUAACUACGUGCCAGCAGCCGCGGUAAUACGUAGGGUGCGAGCGUUAAUCGGAAUUACUGGGCGUAAAGCGUGCGCAGGCGGUUGUGUAAGACAGGUGUGA